UUGGUAUUUCCUAACACUCUCGAUAAACCACUUGUGACCAAAUGAUGCCCAAUUAUAAUUCCUCACAUCACUAGGAACAAGCAAAGACCCCAAGUACUUGAUGCUGGGGUAGGUACUUGAAUUAGGACACAAAAAAUAGAGAGAAAGACAACCAUAAAGCAGAUGAAAUGGUUAUCAUCUGCAAGAUCAUUGGUGAGGAGCAUCAACCACUUGUGACCAAAUGAUGCCCAAUUAUAAUUCCUCACAUCACUAGGAACAAGCAAAGACCCCAAGUACUUGAUGCUGGGGUAGGUACUUGAAUUAGGACACAAAAAAUAGAGAGAAAGACAACCAUAAAGCAGAUGAAAUGUUUAUCAUCUGCAAGAUCAUUGGUGAGGAGCAUCUUGCCAAAAUGUUUAAUAGUAGGC
This 407-nucleotide long non-coding RNA is filed under the name Brachypodium distachyon (stiff brome). RNAcentral's name for it is "long non-coding RNA (BDIS_LNC005451)". The record is from RNAcentral. Lineage: Eukaryota; Viridiplantae; Streptophyta; Magnoliopsida; Poales; Poaceae.